CCAGAGCAGCAGUUGAGGCUGGCUGGGUACAGCUGACAGCUCACAAUCAGAGCUAGCCAUAUCUCCUAUUUAGAGUCACUCAAUUUGACAUUUCAUCUCAAGGGCUAAAGAUUAGCAAUGUCUCGAGGGCUAAGAUGAGUAAGAUGAAAAAUUCAGGAUUCAUAAAAAUAAUAGUUGUUAAGACAUACUUUUAUUUUUAGUUCAGUAAAAUGGUUAACUCAGGAGAACUAAAAUAGUGGGAAACGUUUUUUGUUUUUUUGAGACAGGGUUUCUCUGUGUAGCCCUGGCUGUCCUGGAACUCACUCUGUAGACCAGGCUGGCCUCGAACUCAGAAAUCCGCCUGCCUCUGCCUCCCGAGUGCUGGGAUUAAAGGUGUGCGCCACCACACCUGGCUAGAAACUUUUGUUAUUUAAGUGUGAAAAGACUUUAAAAACUGUUUUUUACAAAGUGACAGGUCAGAACUUGAGUUUGGGAUGGGAGUGGUCAGCACAGGGCACUGUGAUGGCCAUAUGUCCCGUCAUGAGUGCCUCUUACCUGGUACAAAGUGCCAUCCUGAGAGCAGACUUGCGAGGCUGAACAGUUCAGACAGCAAAGCUGCGGAGGAGAUGAACCCAUCAGAUAAGAGGCAUCCACAGCGGGACACAUUGCAAACUCAAACACUGCCAGAGAUUGUAAAGCAAGCAAUGAGGGCAGGAAUGGUGCUGGAGUGUGGCGGAGGCUGCGAGAAGAGGUGGAAGCAGCAAGAAGCACCGGGAAAAGGCAGCCGGCUAGACUGAGGGCAUUCGACCUGCCCACAAGAAGAUGGGCAAGUAGAACAUGGCCCGCAGGGAAGGCUGCGGCUGAGCUCGCUAAGUGCAAGCGAGUGGACUGUGCUCCCAGGCAGGUUGACAGACACUGUGACUUUCUUCUCCUACAUUUCUUACACUAGACAUCCUGCUACAUACUUUAGCCGUAAUAGUAAUUCUUGCUAAAUUUCCUACACAGUACUAUCACAAUUGUAAGGAUUCCGAAAAACUGGAAAAAGAGGGAGGCAGAACAGAACACAUUUAGAAGAAAAAAAAGCUACAGUGAAUACAGGAAGAUGUCAGUGUUCAGAACACAGGAACACUUUCUAGAAGCC
Molecule: long non-coding RNA, 1120 nt
Filed under: Mus musculus (house mouse)
Lineage: Eukaryota; Metazoa; Chordata; Mammalia; Rodentia; Muridae
Description: RIKEN cDNA F530104D19 gene
Source: RNAcentral